This 294-nucleotide ribosomal RNA is filed under the name Campylobacter jejuni subsp. jejuni. Its description in RNAcentral is "partial 23S ribosomal RNA". It matches the Rfam family "Bacterial large subunit ribosomal RNA", at positions 1609 to 1889 of the family's 2925-position model. The record is from RNAcentral. Lineage: Bacteria; Pseudomonadati; Campylobacterota; Epsilonproteobacteria; Campylobacterales; Campylobacteraceae.
CAAGAAAAGUUUCUAAGUUUAGCUAAUGUUGCCCGUACCGUAAACCGACACAGGUGGGUGGGAUGAGUAUUCUAAGGCGCGUGGAAGAACGCUCUUUAAGGAACUCUGCAAAAUAGCACCGUAUCUUCGGUAUAAGGUGUGGUUAGCUUUGUAUUAGGAUUUACUCCGAAAGCAAGGAAACUUACAACAAAGAGUCCCUCCCGACUGUUUACCAAAAUCACAGCACUCUGCUAACUCGUAAGAGGAUGUAUAGGGUGUGACGCCUGCCCGGUGCUCGAAGGUUAAUUGAUGGGG